Clupea harengus (Atlantic herring) is the source of this 851-nucleotide long non-coding RNA. The record is from Ensembl. NCBI's taxonomy places the organism in Eukaryota, Metazoa, Chordata, Actinopteri, Clupeiformes, Clupeidae.
GCAGCGACUAUUUAUUAUUUGUGAGGCUUCUUGGAGGUUAUUUUUGUUUUCUCUUCUGUUUUGACGACAACCACCAUUGUUUUUUUGUAAAUAAACCAGUUAUAUCUACCCACAACUGAGAGUCUGGCGUUUUAUGAUACGGACCUUUGGUUUUUCGGGUCUGCCGUAACAGUGAGGAUGAGGAGGCACUCUGUCAGGUGUGUGUGUGUGUGUGAGGAGGGCACUCUGUCAGGUGUGUGUGUGUGUGUGUGUGUGUGAGGGCACUCUGUCAGGUGUGUGUGUGUGUGUGUGUGAGUGUGAGGAGGGCACUCUGUCAGGUGUGUGUGUGUGUGUGAUGAGGGCACGCUGUCAGGUGUGUGUGUGUGUGUGAGGAGGGCACUCUGUCAGGUGUGUGUGUGUGUGUGUGAGGAGGGCACUCUGUCAGGUGUGUGUGUGUGUGUGUGUGUGUGUGAGGGUGUGAAGGGCACUCUGUCAGGUGUGUGUGAGGGUGAUGAGGGCACUCUGUCAAGUGUGUGUGUGAGGGUGAGGAGGGCACUCUGUCAGGUGUGUGUGUGUGUGUGUGUGUGUGAGGGUGUGAAGGGCACUCUGUCAGGUGUGUGUGAGGGUGAUGAGGGCACUCUGUCAGGUGUGUGUGAGGAGGGUGUGAAGGGCACUCUGUCAGGUGUGUGUGUGUGUGAGGGUGAUGAGGGCACUCUGUCAGGUGUGUGUGUGUGUGUGUGAGGAGGGCACUCUGACAGGUGUGUGUGUGUGUGUGUGAGGAGGGCACUCUGUCAGGUGUGUGUGUGUGUGAGGAUGAGGAGGGCACUCUGUCAGGUGUGUGUGUGAGGGUGAGGAGGGCACUCUGUCAGGUG